Molecule: ribosomal RNA, 105 nt
Filed under: Ailuropoda melanoleuca (giant panda)
Lineage: Eukaryota; Metazoa; Chordata; Mammalia; Carnivora; Ursidae
Source: RNAcentral
UAUGGCCAUACCACCCUGAAUGCACCCGAUCUGGUCUGAUCUCGGAAGCUAAGCGGGGUCGGGCCUGGUUAGUACUUGGAUGGGAGAAAUAGGUUUUCCCCAUUU